CUCUUUCACCUUCAAAAACCAACGAAAAGAAUCCCUAUCAAAUAAGGAACCAAACGACAGACACCCCUUUGGCUGUUCUUUUUCUUGAACCUACAAAGAACCAAUGACCCUUUUCUUAUUCUCCUAAAGACCAAACCACACCUUCAACACUCUAGAGAUGAGCAGAACACACCUAGUCAUAAACAGAAGGAAGGAACAAUAGCAGAAACAGGGAAACUAGUUGCCGCCUCUAUUGUUGAAGAUCGAAUCGGACUGGAUCUGGACGAGCUGGCCGGAAAUUUUGUUUGAUGUUCCAUUCGUCAUCUAUGGUCAAGUUCACACCUGCUACAUCAAUCUCGACCUGCGAAUUUGCUCCUCCUCCAUCUCUUAAUUCACCAAAUUCAAGUUGUAAGUUACGUGUUAAUUAUUAAGCUGCAGCUCUUUUAUCUAUCUUCAACUGCAUGAAAAUAAGGUUUCGGUUUCCGCCUUGUCAUAGUUAUAUGUGAUUUAUCAAUUAAUGUGCACUUUUAUUUGUUUUCCAUGUGAUAAUAGCUACAAACAUAUGAUAUUGUGAAUCUGCUUAUGCAUUCGCUAGUCAAUUUUCUGACUAUAUUUGUUAUUGAAUGCGGCCAUUGAUUGGAACGGUAAUAUUAUAAAAUAUAGCUUAUCCAGUUCCUUCAUAUCUUUAACAAUGUAAUUGGAAAUAUUUUGAAGCCACUUUGGGAUCCAUUUUCUUUACUAGUUUUCGUUUUAUUUACCCCUUUAAUUCAUAGGAAUAAUGGUUUUCGGUACUGUUCAUGCUUUUAUUCCCUUCGGUCCAAAAUAAGUGAUUUUUGAUUUUUUUUUUGUGGUCCAAAAUAAGUAAUUUUUUCAGAUUUCAAGAAUGAAUUAAUUAUUUGUUUCCUACAUUGUCCUUGGAGUAAAUAAUGUAGGAAUAUGUUAGGGAGUUAUGUGAGAUAGUAAAGAUUAAUAUGGUCAAUUCUAUUACUAACUAAUGCUAAAAGAUAAAUUCCUUAAUAUGUAUGAAAACGUCCAAAAAAUUACUUAUUUUGGAUCGGAGGGAGUAUCACCAAAGAAUCUAGUUUUCUUAAAUUGCUAUAUUGGCUAAUUAUGAGUCAUAUAUAUAUAUAUAUAUAUAUAUAUAUAUAUAUAUGUGUAUUUUGUUUUAACAUCCGAGUCCAAUUCAACUCUCAAAUAUUUAUUUUUUUUAUUUUUUUAAAACAUAGUCAAAAUUUUUCACAAUAUUCUCUUCAAAUUCCAUGGAUUAGAUUUUAAAUCUCAUAGAUAAUUAUGUCACGUAAUUAAAACGGUUAAGGGUCACAUUAGCCCUUGUACUAUUCAAAAUAAGCUACAUUUAUCCUCCGUUUGAAUUCUUUGACUGAUUUUGACUUGCUAAAAUUGGUUAUUGGCGGAUUCCUUUUGAGAAUAGUUAGAUCACGUUUUAAACUAUCGUGAUUGUAUACACAUUCGCUUGACGUGGUUACGAUUUUCAAAAAUAAAACCGGAGUAUGCGUUCGCACAACUUCGAUCAAACUUUCCAAAAAUGAAAUUGCUUUUAAUAGGCCGAUUUUAAAUCUAGUUCAUAUAGCCCGAGGUGUGCCAUCCACAAUUUAAUCACUUAUGGCCCUCGUAUUAAUUUCAUAACCUAGUUAUAAAAAUGUCAAAUACUCGUAGUUGCAUUAGGCCCAUUUAAUAUACCAUCGUGAUUGUGGACACGUUCGCAUGACAUGAUUACGAUUUCUGAAAGAACAAAAUCGGAGUAUGCGUUCGCGCAACUUUAGCCAAACUUUCUGAAUAAUAAUAAGCGUUAUUAAUUGUGGACACGUUCGCGUGACAAAAUUUUUGAUGCGCCAAACGAAAUGAGUACACCUACGCGUGACUCAUUUUAAGAUAAUUUUCUUAAUUGAAAAGCGGUAAAAGGUAAAUGCACAUAUGUUAUAAAAUCAGUAAUUAGACAAUUUGAUUAAGCCAAGUAUGAUCAAAGCGACUGUGCUAGAAUGAUCGAGAUCGGGAGUACCAAACGCUUUCUCCCAGGUUAACAAAAUUUCUUACCAGAAUUUCUGUGUUCGCAUACCGUAAAUAGAGUAAACUUUCCUCGAUUCAAAAUUUUGAACCUGUGACUUGGGGAACCAUAAAUUAUACCAAGUGGCGACUCAGAAUUUUUAAUAAAUAAUCCCAUUUCGAUUGUCACUUAAAUUAGAAAAACUCCGUUAUACCAUCUCGGGGGUAGCAAAAAGGAGGUGUGACAACUCUGGCGACUCUACUGAGGAGAAGAACCCAGAAAAUCUGGUUCAAGGUUCAAGAAUUCGAGCUUGUUAAUAUGAUUUAGCUUGGCUUUAGUUAUUUAUUAAUAUUACUGUAUUUUGUGAACCUUUGUGCUAAUUACUCUAUUUACCGUUUUGAUAUUACCUGAAUUAUAUAUAACUGUCUUCUUACGCCACCCCUCCGAGUCUUUUGAAAAUGGUGCACACGUUCGCGUGGCCCACUUUUUCUGUAGAAAUUAUACCAAAUAGAAUGAGGUUGGGCACGCGACAAGGCCGGGUAGACUUCAGUGCUCCCGGUACGUUGCCCCCUCUUUGGCCUCAGUUGUCCGCUCGGGUUCCCCAAGUCUAGACAAAAACCCCAAAAUUUAAACAAAGAAGAACAUAGCCUCAUGCUGGAUCCCUAGUAGGAGUACUUGUUUUGUAUCAUGUGAAAUUGACUUAGGAGACUCAACACAAGGGUUGGGUCCGUCUAGGACAUGUGUACCCAAAAUAACAGACCAUCCUAAUGCAUCAUAUGUGUUAUAUGUUGCAUUUCUUCAAGGGUAAAAGGGUAAUUUGGCGGAUCAAUGAAAGUUGAGGGCACAUGAAAAGAAAGAAAAAAAAGAAAAAAGAUAAGGUGAAAUGUGAAAAAUAAAGCAAGUAGGGCCCGAUUAUGUUAUCUGUCACAUUUUUGAAAAAGAAAUAAAAAAGAAAAUGAAAAAUUCAAAAAGUUUUUGCACUUUCCCAUUAUUUUCCAAAAAAUCAAGGAAAAAGAAAAUCCAAAAAGAGUUUACAUGUUUCAUCAGUUUUCAAAAGAAAAGAAAAUAUAUAUUUUCUCUAAAUUAGUUAUUUUCUUUUAAAAUUCUCGCCCGUAUUCAAUCGCCGCGAACUACGCAGACCUGAUUCUCGUAUUUUCGAGCGUGAUACGUAGGUAACCCACAUUGGGUCCGGUCCUCCUAGUAAAUCUUAGGUUCUUGGCUUUGCGGGGUCUUAGCUAAAUUUUGUACUUCUAGCCAUCUUUUGGCAAAAUAAGUUAUUUUACAAAAAUAGCGUCUACCAUGUCUUGGAUGUGUCUAGUAGGGAAUGUUAUUAUCUAACACAGUAUUGGUUUCAGUUUUCUCAUAUAGGUGUGAAUCUACUUAUCGAAGUUUGAGAAUGGCAGAUAUCCCAGGAUCACUACAUUCAGGAGCUGCUCGAGGAGUCAUUUUAUAUUUUUGGGUCAAUUUUUCAUGUUUACUUUCUAGUCAUGUAUAAUAAUAUCCAGUCUUUUAGGUGAUGUUCGAGUUUGUAAUAGUCUAGUUAAUUUUUCCAAAUAUUUUGUUAUUGUA
RNAcentral lists this long non-coding RNA (3550 nucleotides) under Nicotiana benthamiana. RNAcentral describes it as "long non-coding RNA (NBEN_LNC019561)". The record is from RNAcentral. Lineage: Eukaryota; Viridiplantae; Streptophyta; Magnoliopsida; Solanales; Solanaceae.